CCCGCUUGGCGCCGCCGCUGUGCACACCUCCACACUUGUGCCGUGGCCCACUCUGUGCUCGCGUGCCCCGCCGCUGCUGCGCUUCUUGCCAUAGUGCCACCGCUACUCCGGACCACCGCUCCGCGUCGUUGAACACCGCCGCACCGCACCGUGGUCAUCGUAGCUCCGAGUCAUAGCACCUCGGCUGCUCCGGACCGCCACUCCGCUCAGCCAUAGCACAGACACUACUCCAACCUGCUGCCAUGGCUUCAUGCCGUAGCACCGCCGCUGCUCCGAACCACCGCUCCAACGCAGGCAAGGUCGCCACUGCCGUCGCAUCCCAAGAUUCAACGAGGUGAGCCCCUCCCAUUGCAGGGCCAUGGCAUGGCGGCGCUGCUCGAGCCUCUCCUCCCUGCACAGAUCCAUGGCGUUGGUGGCACCACGCGAGGCCCUCCACCCUGCUCAGGCCCCCAUGGCGGCGCAGCACGAGAUCAUCGACCAAAUGCUAUAGUGGUACUGGAUGACCGUCCUACUAUGUAUAUGUUGUGACUGGAUAUGGAGAUGAAUGGAGGUGUAGCAGCUACUGUAUAACUGUCGAAGGGCUUAUAGGGGGGACAUAUCUACAGAUGGAACCCAUCAAUGCAAAUGACCCUUAUUGAUAGAGCCGGAGUGCCCAAUCUUUCGGUGAGUGGGGAUAAAUUCGACUUGGCGGAAGAUGACCCUCACGAUCCGACUACGACGAGCGAAACCCGAAGCGCCAAUGCAAUCGCUGAACCAACUCCCUGUGGUUACCGACCUUGUUGAUGCAAGAUCAGCCUGAUCACGAAGAUCGUUUCCUGUCCGCAAUCGAAGAACGAACAAGAAAAGGAUGCGAGCAAUCUGAUUAUCUCUCGAAGGUGGAGUUCUGAAUACACGAGGACAGCGCUGAUUUGCACGUGUUCUAGAGUAGCUAAAGCUAGAUGUAAAACAAAACUCGAGUCUGAAUUGAAAAGAAACCUCUCUCUAAAUAGAGGGAGAGGGG
Molecule: long non-coding RNA, 1000 nt
Organism: Panicum virgatum (switchgrass)
Lineage: Eukaryota; Viridiplantae; Streptophyta; Magnoliopsida; Poales; Poaceae
Exons: 3
Source: RefSeq, a predicted model, not a curated record